Pelobates cultripes (western spadefoot toad) is the source of this 223-nucleotide non-coding RNA. Lineage: Eukaryota; Metazoa; Chordata; Amphibia; Anura; Pelobatidae. The record is from the annotation of a GenBank genome assembly.
CUUAAAGUAAUGUGUAUAGACUAUACACAUUAUUGUAGGCGAAAGGUGGAUUUUAAAAAUGUAUGCACUUCAACUAUCAGUGUCACACACACACCAUGGAGACUACACAGGUAGGGAAGGAGGAGUCAAGUUAUCUAUGUGCCCGCUAAGGAACUCAAGGAGUGCUAACAGUCCACGUGUUAGGGGGUACAAUACUUGCCUUGCACCGGGCAUUGAAAACCCA